Molecule: long non-coding RNA, 833 nt
Organism: Ostrea edulis (European flat oyster)
Lineage: Eukaryota; Metazoa; Mollusca; Bivalvia; Ostreida; Ostreidae
Exons: 2
Source: RefSeq, a predicted model, not a curated record
UGCCUCUUUACGUGGCCAGGAAAUUUUCCCUAAGCACAGUUAUAUCCGUAUGACACUACAAGAGAAUAUCCCCUCGAUGUAUGUAGAUUAACCUAUAAGUCCUUAAAUUUCACACACACUAAAAAAAAAUAACACAAAGUCGAUGGCAACGCUAUGAUAGAGCGCUCGACCAGCGGUCUCUGACGACUGUCAAGUCUAGUCGGAGACCCAAGUGUCCAAACGAAGCCUUGGAAUAUCCGUCCUAAACUUUGUCGAUAUGUAAAUCUGAUUCUAUCAUACAGUCAUUUGUCAUUCCGCCUGAAACGUGACCCUGGCCUGGGGCAACAGCGAUAUAAUGUCUGAUGUACGAGCGAGCACCUACAUUGGAAAAUGUCAGCAGCUAUCAAAAUGCUGAAGUAUGCCGUCGAAGCAAUGUGCAAAAGUGUGUACAACCAGUUUAAUUUAUAGGUUUCAUUCCCAUCAUACCAUUUGAUUUAGAUGGUUAAUUUAGGGUCAACACGCAAACACAGGAGUUCGAAGAAAAACAUAUUGCUUUUCAGCACGCAAUUGUAGAACUCUACGACUCGUGGAUAUCUCACUGCCUGGCUGAUAGAACAAGUGGCACAGCAAAAGAAUAAAACAAUUUGUGAUCAAUUCCUUACCAGUGUUAACCCCUACCAGGGUUGGUGACCUUAUUGAGUGUGUUUGUUUCUAAACAAAUAGAAUUUUGACCUUUGGUUGUUUUGUGAAUAGGAGACCUUUCACCCCCAAGAUGUCAAAUAUGUUUCAAUUGAAUUCAUGAUUAAUUGACAGAUGUAUUUGUAAGUCUUACAAAAUAUAAAUUAUGAAUUAUG